Molecule: long non-coding RNA, 4217 nt
Organism: Lactuca sativa (garden lettuce)
Lineage: Eukaryota; Viridiplantae; Streptophyta; Magnoliopsida; Asterales; Asteraceae
Source: RefSeq, a predicted model, not a curated record
UUUCCAUGUUAACGUAACGUUGUCUAUUAAUGUCAUAGAGGGGUCGAACCGAUUCUGACCGCUCAUCCGUUUCCCUCUCGUGCGAAUUAAGAAGUGAUCCCACACCUUCGGUUCCCGCUUGGCGUCGGCAGUAAACGAACAAAAAAAAUCCCGAUACUUUGGCCAUCGUUCCAGCAGGCGUCGAUCAAGGAGAAGAAGCAAAAAAACACACACGAUUGGCAUUGAGGGGGAGGUUGCGAUCGGCUUAGUAGGGGCUGUGGGCUCCGAUUUUUGUUUCAAACUCGUUGGAUCGAUCACACACCUUGGUGAAAACUUGACAACUUCAAGAAGGGUCAAGGCUUGAAUUAGAAAGGAGAACUCGCUUCAAACAUAAGGUAUCUUAGGAGCAUGGCUUGGUGAGGUUGGGUUCCUUUUGGGUAGUUAGUUUUAAUAAAGAUGCCACCUGAACACGUUUGGUUUUUAUUUUCCUUUGAACUCCUUUUUGCAAUAAUUAAAUGGUUUAAUGUUGUUUAUGAAAAUGGUAACGUGUGGUUUUGAAAAUGUUUUGAAUUAAAAAGAAACUAAGUAUUCCGCUAACAUAUUUUGUUAAAUAAAUGUUUUAAAAAGAAAAAAAAAAUAUGGUGAAAAUCACGACGUUACACGUCCUCCUUUACUCAUUUGAAAACCAUUUUAAACUCUCUUUUGAAAACUCUCCUCGAUUUGAGACUGGAGUCACACGAGUGUUUCUCCAUUUCACUCAAACCAAGGCUCUAAUACCAACUUGUAACGACCGAAAAAAUACAACCAAUUUUAAAUUUUGCAAAAACAACUCGAUUCCAUUAAAUCUUUACAAAAAGGUUUUCAAUACAAAACAUUUAAGUAUUCCCAGAAUCACAUUACUACAAAAUCAUGAGGAACGGUACGAUCACGCCUUCGCCUUGCCACGGUCUCCUGAAGAACCUGAAAAACAUAAAACCACAACUGUAAGCCCGAAAGCUUAGUGAGAUAUCCCCAAAAUACCAACCACUUAUAACAUACACGCAUAACAUGCCACAACAUAUCUGAUCACAGAACAGCCAUGCACUUCGGGCCUACUGUGUGACUGGUCCGCUGCACCGGCCUACACUCCACCUGGUCCACCCUCUGAGUCUAGCCAUAAACCUCGAGUCUACAGUGUGAUUGGUCCGCCCGCACCGGGCCUUCAAUCCACCUGGUCCACUCUCUGAUUCUACAAUAUGACUGGUCCGCCCGCACCGGGCCUUCAGUCGGCCUGGUCCACUCUCCGAGCCUCGGCACGUCUGGUCCACCCUCUUGGGGCCUACAGCCUAUCCGGACCGCUCGCUGGGCCUUCGGAACAACCGGUCCGCCCUGGGUAUCUUGGCCUACAGCACAAAGCAGGACCCGCCUCAACCCAACUCCAGUCCAAACAACCAUGUGCACAUAUACAUACAAUCAUAUAGCAAUUCACAGUCAACAAGCAGAUCAAACAGAUCACAUAACAUAUCAUCAUCCUAACCAGGAUACCGACCUAACAGGUCACUAGCAUAGCAUCUCCCUAUCUCUCAAGAUACCGAUCUCAAUCAGGUCUCUAACAUAUACCAUCCUGGCUCUCAGGAUGCAAACAUAUCAAAGCGGUAACAUAACAACAACUACCCGGAUCUCAAUCCGAAAAGGGCCGGCCUUGGUGCCUUAGACCCUGUUGAUAUAGUGAGGAUAACUCACCUCGAAACUGCCGGCUGAAAGGAUAAGAUCCCGCUGCUCCAAACUCCGACACGAACUCCUCCACUAAACACCAAAACACUCAACUCAAUAAAUACCCUUAAUUACCAAAAUACCCCCGGAAGACAAUUGGUCAACCCUUGGACAAGGUCAAAGUCAACCCCUGACUGACUCUACUCGCCGAGUCAACCCGAUGACUCGCCGAGUCCCCAAGCUCAGGACUUCCCCCAAUCCGCGACCUAACUCGCCGAGUCACCCCGAGACUCGCCGAGUCCAACAACUCUGAGUCCACUCGCACACAACUCACCGAGUCAUCCCUUGACUCACCGAUUCUCGACUCGACCAGAAAAUAUUGGGACUCUUCGACAAGACUCGCCGAGUCCAAGAACAGACUCGCCGAGUCUAAGGCUAUCUUCAACCUACUCGUCGAGUUGUUCAUACAACUCGCCGAGUUCCACGCCAUCUUCAACCAACUCGCCAAGUUGUUCUUCCAACUCGUCAAGUUCCAGCUCAUCUUCAAGUAACUCGUCGAGUUCACCCAUGUGACUCGCCGAGUACCACCGGUCUGAAUCCAUACAGAAGCAUUCCAGGCCAUGCAAUUGAUCCACAACAUAGAUCUAGCCUCCUACAACCCAUCCAUCACAUAAAGUGGCAAACUUUACGUGAAUCCAAAGAGAUCUAGGCCUUAUACACUUUAGGGCUAGGGUUUGGGACAUGAUAGCUUCACUACACACUCAAACACAGGGACUUUCAGGCAUUCCAAACCUUCUCCAUUCCAGAUCUGAGGUAGCAACCUCAGAUCUAACCUCUAAACUCCAAAACACCAAAAAAUAAGAUCCCCACAAACCCCAUAAUGAUGAAUCCAAAGAGUAACAGCCCAAGGACGAGAUAUUACCUCAAAAGAACGCCCCAACUGCAAUGGAACUCGAAUCCAAGCAAAGCCCCUUGCUCCAAGCCUCCUACCCUUCAAGAUUUCCUCAACAAUUGCUUCUCCAAGCUCCCAAAUGCAACUUGAUCCACUCACAUACGAAGGUUAGGGUUUCUGGACUUGAGGAUGAGUAAAGAGGCUGGGGGAAUGGAUGUUAUGUUCUUUAUAUAGGGCUCAACCCCGAGAAUUAGGGUUUUCUCCGCUCAGCGCCUACUCGCCGAGUCCAUCUUACUGACUCGCCGAGUCGGCUACUUAACACACGACCAAGUCGCGACUCUACUCGUCGAGUCCACCCAUGGACUCGUCAAGUCGCUCUUUCCCAAUUUACUCUUUUAGCCCUUCAACUCUACUCUUGAUAUUUCGGGAUGUUACACAUGGAUGCUCCAUGGUGUAUUUGAACCCAUGGAUCCAAGGAAAUGGAAGGCCAUGACAAUUAGGGUUUACCCUAAUUGUAACAACUAUAUAAGAUCAUAUUCUUUGGGAAAAAUCGGCCACUAUGAAUAAUAAGAAAGGGCUAGCCGAUUUUAGGAGUGUUCAAGUUUCUCUCAAGUUAUUCCAAGUGUAUUUGGUGUUGUGUGAACCAUUUGAGGUGUCACACUUGAGGCACUAGGCACUCAAGCUUCAUGAAGACAUUCUACAUCAAAGAGAGACUUUUGAAGGAAGAAUAUUAGUUGAGAUGAUGAAUAAAAGAUGUGGAUGAAGUUUCGGGACCAUUGGCGCAUCGAGGAGGAAGUUAAGAAAAAAAUGAAGAUUUUGACUUUAUAGAGAUUUACACGGCCAUGUAAAUGAAAGCUUUGAGUUUACACGGGCCAUGUAAACACAUACUCAUGAGCAAUUAACUUUUUGUAUUUACAUGGCCAUGUAAAUGGUCAGUUAUAAUUUACACGGGCCAUGUAAACGUGUCGCCGGUUUUAAAACAGUUGAAUCAUUUGUAAAAAGAAGACAGCCAGUUCCAGGAGAAGUUAAGUCGUAUUUUGGGAGAAGAAAAGGAUUUUGGGGAGAUUUGGGAAGUGGAUAAACAUUUGGAAACACUUUAAUUUGCACUUUGUAAGUCGAAUGGAGGAUUAAACUUGUUGAAUUGUAGUUUAACUUAGACAUGUGUGGCUGAUUUCUAUUUCAUUUCUGAUUCUGAAUUCUUAAGUAUGUGUUAUUAGGUUGUAAUUUACAUUUGACUUAUGUUUAAUAUCUAGUAAUCUUUGAUUUGAUCUUAAUUAUGUGUUUGAUUGAUUCUCUUUUUCACUUGAUCAAUGAAUUAGGGUUCCAUUCAAUCUAGUUAAUCAAAUUAUAAAAUCCGUAUAUGUUUUAUGAUUUGAUGAUAGUAACAUACACUUGAUUGGUUGAAUUUAAAUCAAAAUAAGUGUAAUCAAAGAUUAAAUGUUCAUAAUCCCAAGCUUAAGAGGAAUGUUGAACAUUGUUGGUAAUUGUUGCAAGAACUCAAUGUCCUUCAAUGAUUUGAUGCAAGAACUUAUUUGAAUUGAAUCAAUUAAAGGAAUUUUUAUUUGAAGAGCAUGUUUUGAAUAAAAUACUUUUGUCAACUUAGAUAUUAGAGUUUAUUAAUAUCUAAAUUACCAACCUAGACAAAACAUGAGUC